This 845-nucleotide ribosomal RNA is filed under the name uncultured bacterium. Its description in RNAcentral is "bacterial SSU rRNA". It matches the Rfam family "Bacterial small subunit ribosomal RNA", at positions 34 to 887 of the family's 1533-position model. The record is from RNAcentral.
CGCGAGCCCCAGGCCCGGGGCAUGCAGGUUUCGGGGGAGUCUAAAAAUAGAUGAGACCGGCGCACGGGUGCGUAACGCGUAUGCAAUCUACCUUUUACAGAGGGAUAGCCCAGAGAAAUUUGGAUUAAUACCUCAUAGUAUAACGACUCGGCAUCGAGAUGUUAUUAAAGUUCCAACGGUAAAAGAUGAGCAUGCGUCCCAUUAGCUAGUUGGUGUGGUAACGGCACACCAAGGCAACGAUGGGUAGGGGUCCUGAGAGGGAGAUCCCCCACACUGGUACUGAGACACGGACCAGACUCCUACGGGAGGCAGCAGUGAGGAAUAUCGGUCAAUGGGCGCAAGCCUGAACCAGCCAUGCCGCGUGCAGGAUGACGGUCCUAUGGAUUGUAAACUGCUUUUGUACAGGAAGAAACACUCCCUCGUGAGGGAGCUUGACGGUACUGUAAGAAUAAGGAUCGGCUAACUCCGUGCCAGCAGCCGCGGUAAUACGGAGGAUCCAAGCGUUAUCCGGAAUCAUUGGGUUUAAAGGGUCCGUAGGCGGGUUUAUAAGUCAGUGGUGAAAGCCCAUCGCUCAACGAUGGAACGGCCAUUGAUACUGUAGAUCUUGAAUUAUUAGGAAGUAACUAGAAUAUGUAGUGUAGCGGUGAAAUGCUUAGAGAUUACAUGGAAUACCAAUUGCGAAGGCAGGUUACUACUAAUGGAUUGACGCUGAUGGACGAAAGCGUGGGUAGCGAACAGGAUUAGAUACCCUGGUAGUCCACGCCGUAAACGAUGGAUACUAGCUGUUCGGAGCAAUCUGAGUGGCUAAGCGAAAGUGAUAAGUAUCCCACCUGGGGAGUACGUUC